UACGUAGGGUGCAAGCGUUGUCCGGAAUUAUUGGGCGUAAAGAGCUCGUAGGCGGUUUGUCGCGUCUGCUGUGAAAACCCGAGGCUCAACCUCGGGCCUGCAGUGGGUACGGGCAGACUAGAGUGCGGUAGGGGAGAUUGGAAUUCCCGGUGUAGCGGUGGAAUGCGCAGAUAUCAGGAGGAACACCGAUGGCGAAGGCAGAUCUCUGGGCCGUUACUGACGCUGAGGAGCGAAAGGGUGGGGAGCAAACAGG
Molecule: ribosomal RNA, 253 nt
Filed under: uncultured bacterium
Lineage: Bacteria
Description: partial 16S ribosomal RNA
Rfam family: Bacterial small subunit ribosomal RNA
Source: RNAcentral